Molecule: long non-coding RNA, 1411 nt
Filed under: Sus scrofa (pig)
Lineage: Eukaryota; Metazoa; Chordata; Mammalia; Artiodactyla; Suidae
Description: lncRNA (ENSSSCG00070011643.1)
Rfam family: Small nucleolar RNA SNORD116 (bases 1231-1322)
Source: RNAcentral
GGUUCCUGGAGAGCCGGCUGGCACGGACAGACUCAUGUGAGGGCAAGUGGCUGAUCGUGCGUCGGAUGGGUCCAGCAAAGGAGAGAAAGCUUCGGUGCGCGCGCGCUCGCCAGGGAAAGGGUGACAGGGGUGGACCGAGAGGGAGAGAGAGAGGGAGAGAACAAAGGAAGAGAGAGGGUUUCCGCAGGGGCGGUGAGUCCUGGCGGAAGUCCUGAGGCAGAGGAGGUGCCAGGGGUUUGGGUUUCCCGGUCGUGUCGGGGUGUGGCGCAGGUUGCCCCAGUGGGCCUGAAUGUGCCUCCGUGGGGCACCUUGUUGCCGUGUUGGGGGGCGGGGAGCCGGCCUUGGGGAUCCAUCUUUCGGGCCCUGGGACGUGGGAGAAGAAUGCCGGGGCCUCUCUCUGUGCCCCUGGCACGCCUCUGUGCAGGCCGGGCCUGCACCGCCCCCCCCCCGGCCCCCAGGCAGGGUCCGUGUGGCUGCAGACACCCAGAGAGAGGAGGCUGGGGAGGCUGGGGAGCCGUGGCAGCCCGAUGCAGUGCGGGUCUCCAGGUGGAGGGGCCCUGGUCCCUGGCGCCAGCGUGGCCCUUCCUCCUUGUGGAAACCCUUGUGGUGUGUGUGCUCUCUCGCCCUGACCCAGGAGAGCAGCAUGGCGGACCCCUGAUCUUGUGGCGUGCCACGCGCGAGGCCGAGGAGCUCCCGCAGCCCAGUGGGCGUGGCGUCCUUGUCGCGGCUCUGUGGAGACCUGGCGAUGGAGAGCAGCAUGGCGGACCCCUGAUCUUGUGGCGUGCCACCGCGCGAGGCCGAGGAGCUCCCGCAGACCAGUGGGCGUGGCGUCCUUGUCGCGGCUCUGUGGAGACCUGGCGAUGGAGAGCAGCAUGGCGGACCCCUGAUCUUGUGGCGUGCCACCGCGCGAGGCCGAGGAGCUCCCGCAGACCAGUGGGCGUGGCGUCCUUGUCGCGGCUCUGUGGAGACCUGGCGAUGGUGAGCGGCCCCUGUCCUCAGUGGUGGAGAACUCGCCCUUGGGGCGCUCGUCUGUCCGGAGCCCCGGGCCAGCCCCGCUUCUCGCGGGCUUUGGCCCCGGCAGGCCAGCUCCGGGGGCGUGAGGGGGAGCGUCCCGUCCUGCCCAGUGGCUCGUCUGUCUGGGCACGCCCCCAAACGCUGCCGUGAUGGAGCGGGUGGGAUGUCCAGGUGCGGAGGCCGUGAAUUUGCCUUGCGGCGGCGGAGCCCGUGCUCGGAUCGAUGAUGACUCCCUCUAAAGCAUUCCUUGGAAAUCUGAACAAAAUGAGUGAGAACUCACUACCGUCUCCUCAUCGAAACUGAGGUCCGGCACGUGGCGGCCACCGGGGGCUCGGGGGCCCUUGGCCUUGGGGCCUCUGUGUGUCAGCAGCCACUCGGGUGAGGUCUGGGGAAGGCG